RNAcentral lists this ribosomal RNA (4141 nucleotides) under Triticum aestivum (bread wheat). Its description in RNAcentral is "partial small subunit ribosomal RNA". Lineage: Eukaryota; Viridiplantae; Streptophyta; Magnoliopsida; Poales; Poaceae. The record is from RNAcentral.
GAGAAGGGAAGGAGACAUGAUGAGGAUGAGGAUGAGGGUGAUGGUCAAGGAGCGGUCGACGACGGCGGCGGGGGAAGGACGCCUGAAGCAGGAGGAGGGGCGAGGGGGGCUAGGGGUGGUCAUGAUCAUGAGGGGAGGGGGUCGUUAGGUAGGAGUAAGAACGGGCGUGCGUAGGGGAGGGGAAGGUAAGUAACGAGGCAGGACCCUCCUAGCUAACUAACGGGCCGCGAGGAAACUGACCGAGCGAGCGGCCCACCCAACUGGGGUUCACCUUACUAGCCGGUCACUAGCUAGGUAGGCGUUUCGAAUUCGGUUCCCUAGCCCUGCGUGCCUGCCCGCCUUCGAUACCUAUUGUAGCCGCCGCCGCCGCACGACGCCGUGUCGUUGUCGUCGGCGGAGAGCGCGUACAGGAAGAGGCCGCUCCUGCCGGCGCCGCGCGUCCGGGCCCGGCGGGGGCCGCGGCCCCGCCUGGCCGGCUACCAGUGGAAGCGCGCGGCGUGGGUGAGCCCGGCGAUGCACUCGAUGAGCGCGCUGCUGGAGCUGUCGCUCGACCGGUUGUCGCUCGACCGCCCGCCGCCGCCGCCGAAGAGCGGCCUGGCCCUCCUCAAGGAGUCGAUGGUGCACGUGUAGGGCCAGUGCGGCCUGUUGGUCGGGUACCUGGGCCGGUAGAGCCGCGCGCAGCUCCUCGUCAUGCAGAGGUUGAGCGAGAAGUGCCCCCCGAAGUUGUCGCAGUGGGCGCGGGUGGAGUACCUGUUCCAGUAGCUGAGCCUCCGGUCGGUGGGCGUCUACCGGCCGAGGUUCCCGAGGAGGACGCGGCAGUUGCCGACGCUGCCGUUCCAGUACUCGCUGCUCGCGCCGGUCCUGUAGGACGGGACGCUCACGCUGAAGUUCUAGACGCGGCUCACGAAGCCGCUGCGGCAGUUCUUGCGGCCGCGCGAGACGGGGCCGACGUUCCUCGGGAUGUUCCGGUGGCUCUACCUCCUGGACCAGCCGCCGCCGCGGCUGCCGCCCCGGUCCGGGUGCGAGAGGGACGGGGGCGGCGGGCCGCCGCGCGGGCGCAGGUCCUACCUCUCCGCCGACAGCUAUCAGUCCAGCGUCUUCCGGUACUGUUCCUCGGUCUGGCCGCUGACCCUAGUGUUGGCGACCGACAAACUCUGGUUCCCCUGGAUACCCAUACCCUUACGGUAGACCGGUUUCCUCUUACUACGGCUGUUACCGUUACCGCCGCCACCUCCGCCCGACCCGCCUUGGCUGCCCGUCGGCCGCCUCAAGUGGUCGUUCGGUACCUCCGGCGAGUGAGCCUUCGAGUUCUAGGGACGACCGUAGGAGUCGGGUAUGUCCGAAGAACAAGAGUAGGCGAACCGGCAAGAACCAGACAAGGAAUGUACCUCUUAAUUCGUAUUCUUACUUCUACGUUACACCGAUACCCCGUACAGACAACAAACACUUGAGACCAAACCGAAAAGAACCUAGAACCUGGUCGACGGUUUCGACACGGGACAAUUGGCUCGUUGACUGGAACGACAGGACUUUCUGUUCAAACUCUGGGGUUGCGGCAGUUUAGGCUUACCUUCUAGACUAGACGGCCCCGAACUAUAUAUACACAGGUGACGACUAGGUCUCUUUCUUGGAGGUAAUUGAUGUCGUUUGUGGUAAGACAGGUAGGAACGACGACUGAUAGGACAACUCUUCGAAAGAACGAUACAAAGACUACUGCCUCCGCGAGAGGAAUGUAAACUUCGUUACCGACUUCGACGAUCGAAACGAUUGUACACCCAAGGAAAGACAGCGUUCGUGCCGUAGCUCGGAGCGUUAGGACUCUCGAUGAAGUCAGAUUUCUCCCUGGGAAUGUUCUUGUUCCAUGCGAGCCUGAAACAGUUCCUGUCCUCUUCCUAGUUCUCCCUCAUACUACUCAAGUUCCAGUCUUAGUUACCCGACGGACUGAGUUAGGCAGCGGCGAGGCUACGAAUGGUACGGUCUCUUCUUUAGUUCCGGUACUUCUCCGUCGCACUUCGACGAGAACUGCUACGUCACCUCUGACAAUUUUAACGAUUUCGAUGGACCUACCGACUACCGUGUGUAACCGGGCCAUGGACCUAAGUUGGGAGACGCCUCGUAUGAGCCCCUCUGGUACGACCUUAGUAAGUCCACUACGAGUUUGGAGGAUCACUACUAGGGAACAUACCGCCGCUACCACUUCUUCCAUCUGGGGAACUGAAGUGACUGUAGCUGUAGGCAGACGGUUACAACCAGAUACACAGGGCUCUUUUCGCGGGUCCGAUACUGGUGUUGUUCUUCCGACCACGCUACUUACGAGACCAGGCAAGUAGACGACAGUACAGUUUACCUGGAAAGUAGGAGUUGGACCUAACACUAGUAAUACAAAUGUUGAGGGUUCGAAAGGCACUUCCGUACACGAAGUACUACCUGGCACCACCACUGGCAUAACGGAUACAGGUCAAGGGGGUUGCCAAACUCCCGUAACUAGGUAGUCUAGCGAUACGGUUGGUGUUGUGACAGAAGAAACUACAGUUGUACGCACGUAACCUACCAGAGUACCCUGGUCAGAUACAGCCGUGACCGACAGACAAGGCGGCACAACGUGAGAUACCUAAACUGGGAGGUGCGAGGUGUCUUGUACCACCGACGACGUCGACAACGAAGGGCUUCUUCGCGUUCUAGUUCUCGUGACAAAGGAGUCCAUGUAGACUUCUCUGUGCCCGAGACGCGUACCGUCUAAAACUACUACUCCUCUACUUGUACAGUUGUAAAGGGUUCUCCAAGCCAUUGAGUUUGAAGGAGUAGUUGAGAUAGGGCUAACGGCUCAAGGUUCCCGCGGGCGAACGACUAGUGGGACCACAGUUCUUACCGGCAGGAGGACCACGAGAGUGACAGGGGGCACUGGAAGAGCUGCGGAGGUGCCAGCGGCUCCGAUAGUCACAGUAGAGUACGACCAUACUUCUGUUCUGUCUCACCCCAGUCGCACAGCCUACCUAAAUACCGAGUCAGUGUCUCCUACAACAGUGUCCCAUGGCCUACGUGUUGGCACCCACCUUCAGUCAGAUGACACAGUGGUUCCCACUGCGGAAGGCGCCGUGACGUGGGUAGUUGGACUGACUGGCAGAGGUGGUCCACGAGGCCACCCGGUGGCCGAGUCACCUCUAGAAGAAGAGGGCGUUGUUGCGCGACGAGCGCUCGGCCUCCUACUUCACAGAAGUCUCCUAGCGCAUGGACUUGCACCCGUAGAUGGGCAAGUGCAGGUAGAAGGAGUAGCACAUGACGAAGGACGGCCGCGACAGCGAGAAGAGCCCCGUCAAGUAGCAGUUCCUCGACCUGCACUGGAAGGAGUGGAUGGACGACCACUAGUGGGACUGCGACACGUACGACCGCCACGACCUCUAGUUCACCAGCCCGUAGUUGGACCUCCUCACCACCUCCUUGCUCGUCAAGACCGAGUAGCCGCCGUGGUCGCGGGUGGAGCGGCGGCACGACGUCCCGGAGGAGUUCCAGUAGCGGCCGUAGCUCUAGAGGAAGUGCGAGUGGAGGUUCAGCCCGCGCCUGCUGCUCUUGCUGCUCAUGCGGCUGGAGAUGUAGCAGUUCACCUGGAGCGAGUACUAGGGCGGGUAGCAGUAGUACUACCAGUUGGAGUAGCGGUAGCGGCAGCCGAAGUCGGCGUGGUAGAUGUCGCUCUAGGGCGUCACCUCGUUCGAGGACCCGCCGCAGAAGAAGUCGAAGACCCACGACCGAGUGGACAUGGGCAAGCGGUUCCCGGAGUACCCCGCGGCGCCGGCGUGCGGCUGGUAGCAGAAGCAGACCAGGCCGGAGGAGCGGUAGUGGUAGAGCGACGACACCCACCGGUAGUUGGGCGGCAGCGUCUUGAGCGUCUAGCCUCCGAGGAAGGUCAAGGGGACUAGCAUGGGUAUAUAGUAUAUACUCAAUGUAUGGUAAACAAGGUCGUCGUCGUCGCCGCCGAUCGACCACCCCUCAUUUCAUUUAAGACUGGCAAGGGACACCAAUAUAAUUAAUCCACAAAAAAAGCACAACGACCUUUUACAACCUAGUAUGAUCAUCAAGUAAACAAGAAAACUAAGACAAGGACUCUACAAACCUGGACCUGUUGUAGUUCAUGUUUUUAAGUCUU